UACGAAGGGGGCUAGCGUUGCUCGGAAUCACUGGGCGUAAAGGGUGCGUAGGCGGGUCUUUAAGUCAGGGGUGAAAUCCUGGAGCUCAACUCCAGAACUGCCUUUGAUACUGGGAAUCUCGAGUCCGGGAGAGGUGAGUGGAACUGCGAGUGUAGAGGUGAAAUUCGUAGAUAUUCGCAAGAACACCAGUAGCGAAGGCGGCUCACUGGCCCGGUACUGACGCUGAGGUGCGAAAGCGUGGGGAGCAAACAGG
Molecule: ribosomal RNA, 253 nt
Filed under: uncultured bacterium
Lineage: Bacteria
Description: partial 16S ribosomal RNA
Rfam family: Bacterial small subunit ribosomal RNA
Source: RNAcentral